AAAAAAGAGAAAGUUUCCAUGUUUUGUCUGUAAUUAUAGCAAGUUCCAUAUAUUGGUAAAAAGGUUACUGACUUUCUUUUACUGCCUUUCCGAGAAAAAAAAAUCAGAACCCAGCAUAUGAGUCCAAGAUUUCAUUCACAAGGAAGAUAACCAGAUAAGGGAAUCUUUCGAUGAUAGAGUGUGCAAAAUCAAAUACGUGAUUGACAACAAGGACCUCUAGUUUAUUAUAUUAUUGAGAUAUAAAAUGCUGGAAGACGACGAGUUUUAGGGCGUGGGACAUGGUGCCUUUUCUCAACCAUCCCUCACUUGGAG
Molecule: long non-coding RNA, 312 nt
Filed under: Elaeis guineensis (African oil palm)
Lineage: Eukaryota; Viridiplantae; Streptophyta; Magnoliopsida; Arecales; Arecaceae
Description: long non-coding RNA (EGUI_LNC078141)
Source: RNAcentral